CUUAUUGGCUGCGUGGCGCUGGUUCUACGGGCGGGGUUUUUUUUUCCUUACCCCCCGCGCAACCCAACCGAGCUUACCCUCGGGGAGCCCCACCCCGCGUGGCAGCCCCUCCGCCACCACCCAACCCAACCUGGCCGGCCUGGGACCCCCAGACCCUCGCCCACCGCCCCGCGGGUGCCGUUUGGUGGCCCCAUGGUGUGGGGGGGCCCCGGGGAGCGUGGCCUUUCUGUUUUUUUUGGGGGGUGUGGGACGGGAAGGGGCCCUGCGGAGUCUAGGUUGGAGUGGGAAUAAAGCUGUUUGGGUGGUUUUGGGUUUUUUUUUGGUUCCCUGCCCCCCUCGCGGUGGGUUAUUAAAGGGGUGCGACCCUCGCGUUUGCGCUCGGCUGCUUUGUGGGACAUGGCACGUCCGCCCCCACAGCGACCCUAAUAAAAUGGAAGGGGGGGGAGAGAUAGCGUGCAGCCCCCCUGAGACACCCCAUGGCAAGUUAGGGGGCUCCUGGGGGGGGUUUCAACAGCCUCUGAGAACACCCGAGCAGCUCCAGCCAGAGCGGGGCUGGGCUGAGCCCCCCCAGCUCCACCACCACCAUGGGGUGCCCCACGCAGGGCUUUGCACAGGGGUGCACCGGGGGGGCGGGGGGGGAGGAUUUUAGGGUGCAGCCAGCUUUCAUUAAUUAUUGGGCAGCCUCUGUCCUGCUUGGCAGAGCAGGCAAACUUCAGAGGGGCUGCUGGCGCGGUUGGUUUCGUUUUCCCAAGUUAUUCCCGGAGCUGAGACAAAACACAAGGGGCUCCCCCAAAAUCCCAGCACCCCCCCUCUGUGAGCACCCUCUGGCUGCGCUGGGCCCCUCUGAGCUCCCCUGGGUGCACGAUGCUGGGGCAGCCCAGGUAUUUGGAGCCCAGAUAAUUAUUUGGUGCACACUUAUUUAUUUGGUGCCCUGGUAUUUGGUGCCCACGCAUUUAUUUGGUGCCCAGGCGUUGAUUUGGUGCCUGGGUAGUUAUUUGGCACCCAGGUACUUGGUGCCCAGGCAUUUAACUUGGUGCCCAGGGAUUUAUUUUUUUGGCACCUGGAUAUCUGGUGCCCAGGUAUUGAUUCAGUGCCCAGGUAUUGAUUUAUUUGGAGCCCAGAUAUUUAUUUGAUUCCCAAGUACUGGGUGCCCAGGUACUUGGUGCCCAGGUAUUCAUUAAUUUGGUGCCCAGGUAUUGAUUUGGUACACAAAUAUUGGGUGCCCAGGAACUUUUUGCCUGGGUAUUGAUUUAUUUGGUGCCCAUGUAUUGAUUUAUUUAAUGCCCAGAUAUUGAUUUAUUUAAUGCCCAGGUAUUGAUUUGGUUCCCAGGUACUGGGUGCCCAGGUACUGGGUGCCCAGGGCUUUAAUUUGGCUCCCAGGGAUUUAUUUGGUGCCUGGCUGUCUGGUGCCCAGGGAUUGAUUUAUUUGAAGCCCAGAUAUUUAUUUGGUACCCAAGUAUUGUGUGCCCAGGAACUUGGUGCCCGGGUAUUGAUU
RNAcentral lists this long non-coding RNA (1495 nucleotides) under Anas zonorhyncha (Eastern spot-billed duck). RNAcentral's name for it is "lncRNA (ENSAZOG00000000723.1)". The record is from RNAcentral. Lineage: Eukaryota; Metazoa; Chordata; Aves; Anseriformes; Anatidae.